GGAACUCUUGGUCAACCUCAGGCUCAGAGAUUUCACAAGUGAAGGGUCCUCAGUAGGAGCUCUUCCCCUCGCCUUUGAGCUCAGCACUUCUGCUCCCUCUACUUCCCCUAUUUCCCCCAUAAGGACUCUCUUUCUCUGUUCCCUUAGUUCUUCUUUCUUCUCAGAGAAUCAGAAGCAGUAAGAGAAGAGUCAGCGUACUGCCCCUUGUACUGCCUCCCCAGGUUCCAGACUGAGGAGGCAUGAGGUGAGGUGUCCUUACCCCCUAAAUGCCUGAAGAGGUCCAGAAUGGCCAGAGAAGCCCCACUGCUGCUGUUCCUGAUGUCACUGGGAAUCUCAGGCUCCCAGGAAACAAGAAGUUUGGAUGAGAACUACUUAAGAAAAGAAGGGCAGAUGUUGAAUGUAAGCUGCUCGUAUCCUCUCAAGGACCAUGAGAAGUCUUGGAAAGUUUGGUGUAAACUACAAGAGAAUAGAAAGGAUUGUAACAAAUUAGUGGUCAUAACAAAAUUCUGGGUUUUCACCAAAGAAGGUAAAUUCUCCCUUCAAUUAAUUGAUGAGUCUAAGUCUGGCCACAUCAUCAUCAUAAUGUCAGGACUCAGGGAAAAGGACUCAGGACAUUACUGGUGCAUGACCAUCAAGAAAAACAAUGCCAUUAUCCUCAAGAGAAUCCACCUGGUAGUGUCUCCAGCCCAGAACACCACCAAAGAGAUUUGGACUACUUCAGGAGUCCCUUCCAACACUCCAGCCACCUGCAGUCUUAUUGAGCACCUCUCUUCUCCAUGCGAAGAAAAGAGAGCCAGGAAGCCCAAGUUUCUUAGAAAAGGAGAAAUUCCUCAUUUUGGGUGUGGUCCUGACCUUCCUGCUCCUAUUAGGGGUCCUUAUUACAGGAACUGUGUACAUCAAGAAACUCCACCAGAAAGUCAAGAAAGGUGAUGAUUUCCAUCAAAUGAGCAAUGACUUUGAGAACAAGAGGCAAAAAUCUAGGGGCAUCACCAAGGAGAUGGACUAUGAAGAAGGUCCUGGGGACAUCCAUUAUGCCUCAGUGACCUACAUUGGCCCCAGAGAACCGAUGUGCACAAACACACAGAAGGCAUCCAGCUCGAAGACUAUGCAAAUGCCCUUUGAGUCUGUGGAAUAUGCCAGCAUCACAAGGGCUGAACAUCAGCAUCCCAAAUCAACAGCCAUAUAUGAGUCAAUGGGCAAGGAGAGUUAGUCAUCUGUAGGUGCUUAAUAAAUACAUGUUGAUUGCUAAUAUAGAAAUAUGU
This 1262-nucleotide long non-coding RNA is filed under the name Vombatus ursinus (common wombat). RNAcentral's name for it is "lncRNA (ENSVURG00010020117.1)". The record is from RNAcentral. Lineage: Eukaryota; Metazoa; Chordata; Mammalia; Diprotodontia; Vombatidae.